GGUGGUGGAGCUGGUUCCAGCAAGUCUUAAGCUGCUCCUGCUUCCAAGUUCGCCAAGAAGUCCCAGGAUGACAAAACAGAGAGCAAGAACAUCAAAUGUUAGCAGAGAAAAAGAGGAUAGCUCUGAAGAGGAAAACCUCAAACCGUAGGUAAAUCAGCCGGUGCAAAAUCAAGAAGCAGCAAAGAGAUACCAGAAGCUGGAACAUCAAAGGACCAAGGAGACUCUGGAAAAUCCAAAGCUUCAUCCAAGAAAAAAGAAGAGCCGUCCAAGACUACAAUGAUGUCUUCAAAAUCCAAGUCAGGACCUGCAAAACCUUCAUCGGCCAAGGGCAAAGCAGCAAAAGGCAAGCAAAAUCUUCACCUUCCCCCAAGGGCAAGGAGAGCGAUGUGGAGUCUGAAUCAGAAGAGACACCGAAGGCACCAGAACCAGCUAUUUUCCUGUAGAUAGCUGAAACUGGACUAACACCUUGGAUAGUUUGUCCAUGCUUAUAAAUGAAUAUUGGAUUUUUGCUGCACGUAUUUUAAAGCUGUGAUCAAAUUAUAUGAUUCUGCUUAGAAGAAACAUCUAGUAAGCCCAAUUUUAUCAGUUUGUGGUGAACCAUUAACCCAUUGAUUGUACAUAUUCUUUUGUAUGAGGAAGAAGCUUCCACAGAGUAAGUGUUACUUCUCUAUUUUCGAUGUUAUGUGGCACUGGAAUAGAGUAACUAUAUGUUGUUUUGAGAUAAAUUUGCUACUCUUAGGAGGAUGACCAAGCUUGGUAAUUCUCCAUGCAGGCCUCAGAGAAAGAAAGCUAAGACAAGCAAGCAAUCAAAGAUGGAAUUGUUACGGAAAAAGUAAAUGAAACUGAAAGCAAAUAGUUAAAAAGUGUUAAAAGUCCCAAAAGAUUGUUAAUUAUAAUGCUUCUGAUUUGGGGUGGUGGAGCUGGUUCCAGCAAGUCUUAAGCUGCUCCUGCUUCCAAGUUCGCCAAGAAGUCCCAGGAUGACAAAACAGAGAGCAAGAACAUCAAAUGUUAGCAGAGAAAAAGAGGAUAGCUCUGAAGAGGAAAACCUCAAACCGUAGGUAAAUCAGCCGGUGCAAAAUCAAGAAGCAGCAAAGAGAUACCAGAAGCUGGAACAUCAAAGGACCAAGGAGACUCUGGAAAAUCCAAAGCUUCAUCCAAGAAAAAAGAAGAGCCGUCCAAGACUACAAUGAUGUCUUCA
This 1198-nucleotide long non-coding RNA is filed under the name Brassica napus (rape). Its description in RNAcentral is "long non-coding RNA (BNAP_LNC006955)". The record is from RNAcentral. Lineage: Eukaryota; Viridiplantae; Streptophyta; Magnoliopsida; Brassicales; Brassicaceae.